RNAcentral lists this ribosomal RNA (253 nucleotides) under uncultured bacterium. RNAcentral's name for it is "partial 16S ribosomal RNA". It matches the Rfam family "Bacterial small subunit ribosomal RNA", at positions 524 to 776 of the family's 1533-position model. The record is from RNAcentral.
GACAGAGGGGGCAAGCGUUGCUCGGAAUCACUGGGCGUAAAGGGCGCGUAGGCGGGAUGGCAAGUCGGUCGUGAAAUCCUUCGGCUCAACCGAAGAACGUCGGCCGAUACUGCCGUUCUUGAGGGAUGCAGAGGAGAUUGGAAUUCCCGGUGUAGCGGUGAAAUGUGUAGAGAUCAGGAAGAACACCCGUGGCGCAAGCGACCACCUGGCCGAGACCUGACGCUGAGGCACGAGAGCGUGGGGAGCGAACCGG